GAUGAACGCUGGCGGCGUGCCUAACACAUGCAAGUCGAACGGGGUUAAGAGAAAUUUUCGGAUGGACCUUAACUUAGUGGCGGACGGGUGAGUAACGCGUGGAUAACCUGCCUCACACAGGGGGAUAGCAGCUGGAAACGGCUGGUAAUACCGCAUAAGACCACAGCCCCGCAUGGAGCUGUAGUAAAAGAUUUAUCGGUGUGAGAUGGAUCCGCGUCUGAUUAGCCAGUUGGCGGGGUAACGGCCCACCAAAGCGACGAUCAGUAGCCGGCCUGAGAGGGUGAACGGCCACAUUGGGACUGAGACACGGCCCAA
Molecule: ribosomal RNA, 315 nt
Filed under: uncultured bacterium
Lineage: Bacteria
Description: bacterial SSU rRNA
Rfam family: Bacterial small subunit ribosomal RNA
Source: RNAcentral